CUGUAUAUCAGCUAAGAGAAGUUGAAAAGAUGGAGUCCUCAGAGGCCUAUGGAGAUAUCAAGCCAAGUGCUGCUGCCCCAGGCACCAGGGGUUAAGAGAACCACAUGGCGUUGGGCUUCCAAAGGCCAAAGACUCCCUUCUACAAGCCGUACAGAUCCAAGAGUUUAGUCUCAAAAACCAGAGUCCUGGCUGGGUGUAGCUUGGUAGAGUGCCUGUCUUGCAAACUCUGGGUAUGGGGGUGCACGUCUGAAAUCCCAGCGCUCUGGGACCCACUCCAGGAGAAUCAGAAGGCCAAACGUAUCCUUGGCUAUACAGUUUAAGGCUGGGGCUAUAUUAAAGGCUCUCUAAAACAAAACAACAAAACAAAACAGCCUGUGCUUAUGUACCGAGGCCUGAUGCCUGUACUUUUCCAGAUGGUCUUCAGCAGAGUUUCAGCAGGCAAAUAGCACGUGCCUGGUGCCAGGAAGCCGACCUGUCCAUUUGCUUGGCCAGCCUCAGUCUCCGGGAUCCAAUCCGAACUCUUUAUGAUAAUGAGGUCCAGGCUCAGAGAGGGAUGGGGCCUCACCAGAGCCACACAGUAACAGUGUUCCCAUAGUUUAGUAAUAAUUGUGGACUAAAGAUCCCCGAACUCGGGGCUGGGGAUUUAGCUCAGUGGUAGAGCGCUUACCUAGGAAGCGCAAGGCCCUGGGUUCGGUCCCCAGCUCCAAAAAAAAUAACCCCCCCCCAAAAAAAAGAUCCCCGAACUCCAACCCUUAGUCCAGCUCUCUUCUCCCAGACCAGAGAGGAGAGAGGGUCCCUCACCAGUCCUGGAGGCUGGCCACCUAGGAUCAAAAUCUUGGCUCUACUGCCAAGACAGUGUGCUUAGUCACUGAACAAGUAGGGAACGCUCUCUGUACUCUAAGGGCUGUAGCCUCGAGUAACCACACUGUCUCUAUCCCAUCCCUGUACUUGGACUGAUCCUUCCAUUCAGGGAAAAACGAUCGAG
Molecule: long non-coding RNA, 985 nt
Filed under: Rattus norvegicus (Norway rat)
Lineage: Eukaryota; Metazoa; Chordata; Mammalia; Rodentia; Muridae
Description: long non-coding RNA NONRATT022825
Source: RNAcentral